This 400-nucleotide ribosomal RNA is filed under the name uncultured bacterium. RNAcentral's name for it is "bacterial SSU rRNA". It matches the Rfam family "Bacterial small subunit ribosomal RNA", at positions 355 to 746 of the family's 1533-position model. The record is from RNAcentral.
UGGGGAAUUUUGGACAAUGGGGGCAACCCUGAUCCAGCCAUGCCGCGUGCGGGAAGAAGGCCUUCGGGUUGUAAACCGCUUUAGUCCGGGAAAAAUGUCACUUUCGUUAAUACCGAAGGUGGUUGAUGGUACCGGAAGAAUAAGGACCGGCUAACUACGUGCCAGCAGCCGCGGUAAUACGUAGGGUCCAAGCGUUAAUCGGAAUUACUGGGCGUAAAGCGUGCGCAGGCGGUUUUGUAAGACAGAGGUGAAAUCCCCGAGCUUAACUUGGGAACGGCCUUUGUGACUGCAAAGCUAGAGUGUGUCAGAGGGGGGUGGAAUUCCACGUGUAGCAGUGAAAUGCGUAGAGAUGUGGAGGAACACCGAUGGCGAAGGCAACCCCCUGGGAUAACACUGACGC